RNAcentral lists this ribosomal RNA (1649 nucleotides) under human gut metagenome. Its description in RNAcentral is "bacterial LSU rRNA". It matches the Rfam family "Bacterial large subunit ribosomal RNA", at positions 1275 to 2925 of the family's 2925-position model. The record is from RNAcentral.
GGACUGCAUGGAAGUGAGAAUGCUGGCAUGAGUAACGAGAGAGGGGCGAGAAACCCCUCCGCCGUAAGCCUAAGGGUUCCUGGGCAAGGCUAAUCCCCCCAGGGUCAGUCGGGAGCUAAGGCGAGGCCGACAGGCGUAGCCGAUGCACAACAGGCGGACAUUCCUGUACCACCGCGGAGCGUUACUACGACGGGGUGACGGAGAAGGGUAGCCGGGCGGGGUUCUGGACGUCCCCGUGAAAGCGCGUAGGCCGCAGGGCAGGCAAAUCCGCCCUGCAGCAGGCCGAGACGUUAGACGAAGCUUCAUGUGAAGCCGGCGAGCCCAUGCUUCCGAGAAAAACCUCUAAGGAGCGAGGCGGUGCCCGUACCAAAACCGACACAGGUAGGCGGGUAGAGCAUACCAAGGCGAUCGGGAGAACCAUGGUUAAGGAACUCGGCAUACUGACUCCGUAACUUCGGGAGAAGGAGUGCCCCCGCCUGUGAGGUCCCACGCGGACGGAGCGGGAGGGGGUCGCAGCGAAACGGCCCAAGCGACUGUUUACCAAAAACACAGGACUCUGCAAAGCCGCAAGGCGACGUAUAGGGUCUGACGCCUGCCCGGUGCUGGAAGGUUACGCGGAUGAGUUAGCGCAAGCGAAGCCCUGAAGCCAAGCCCCAGUAAACGGCGGCCGUAACUAUAACGGUCCUAAGGUAGCGAAAUUCCUUGUCGGGUAAGUUCCGACCUGCACGAAUGGCGUAACGACUUGGGCGCUGUCUCAACCAUGGACCCGGUGAAAUUGUAUUAUUCGUGAAGAUGCGAAUUACCUGCGGAAGGACGGAAAGACCCCGUGAACCUUUACUGCAGCUUGGCAUUGGCUGUUGGUGCGGUGCGUAGAGGAUAGGCAGGAGCCUGCGAACCGGGAACGCCAGUUCCCGGGGAGGCGCCCUUGGAAUACUGCCCUCACCGCAUCGGCAGCCUAACGCGCCGCCCUCAUCGGGGGCGCGGACCGUGCCAGGUGGGUAGUUUGACUGGGGCGGUCGCCUCCUAAACUGUAACGGAGGCGUGCGAAGGUUCGCUCAGGGCGGUUGGCAAUCGCCCGCAGAGCACAAGAGUACAAGCGAGCCUGACUGCGAGACCAACAAGUCGAGCAGAGACGAAAGUCGGUUCUAGUGAUCCGGCGGCCCAGCGUGGAAUGGCCGUCGCUCAACGGAUAAAAGGUACUCCGGGGAUAACAGGCUGAUCUUGCCCAAGAGUCCACAUCGACGGCAAGGUUUGGCACCUCGAUGUCGGCUCAUCGCAUCCUGGGGCUGUAGCAGGUCCCAAGGGUACGGCUGUUCGCCGUUUAAAGCGGUACGCGAGCUGGGUUCAGAACGUCGUGAGACAGUUCGGUCCCUAUCCUCCGUGGGCGCAAGAGAAUUGAGAGGAUCUGUCCCUAGUACGAGAGGACCGGGAUGGACGCACCUCUGGUGCCGCAGUUGUCGACCAACGGCACAGCUGCCUAGCUACGUGCGGAACGGAUAACCGCUGAAAGCAUCUAAGCGGGAAGCCGGCCUCGAGAUGAGUUCUCUCUUCGGUAAGGCCACUUGUAGACCACAAGUUCGAUAGGCCGCAGCUGCAAGCCCCGCGAGGGGCUCAGGCGAGCGGUACUAAUCGGCCGAGCUCUUCAUCUC